Nelumbo nucifera (sacred lotus) is the source of this 82-nucleotide non-coding RNA. The record is from Rfam. Lineage: Eukaryota; Viridiplantae; Streptophyta; Magnoliopsida; Proteales; Nelumbonaceae.
CUGACAGAAGAGAGUGAGCACACACAGACAAUUGUAUAAUGGUAUGCUGUUGCCGGUGCGUGCUCACUUCUCUUUCUGUCAG